GCUAAACGCGAAGAACCUUACCAGGUCUUGACAUCCCGCUGACCGUUCUAGAGAUAGAUCUUUCCCUUCGGGGACAGCGGUGACAGGUGGUGCAUGGUUGUCGUCAGCUCGUGUCGUGAGAUGUUGGGUUAAGUCCCGCAACGAGCGCAACCCUUGAUCUUAGUUGCCAGCAUUCAGUUGGGCACUCUAAGGUGACUGCCGGUGAUAAACCGGAGGAAGGUGGGGAUGACGUCAAAUCAUCAUGCCCCUUAUGACCUGGGCUACACACGUGCUACAAUGGACGGUACAGAGGGUCGCAACCCCGCGAGGGUGAGCUAAUCCCAUAAAACCGUUCUCAGUUCGGAUUGUAGGCUGCAACUCGCCUACAUGAAGCCGGAAUCGCUAGUAAUCGUGGAUCAGCAUGCCACGGUGAAUACGUUCCCGGGUCUUGUACACACCG
RNAcentral lists this ribosomal RNA (439 nucleotides) under uncultured bacterium. RNAcentral's name for it is "bacterial SSU rRNA". It matches the Rfam family "Bacterial small subunit ribosomal RNA", at positions 954 to 1392 of the family's 1533-position model. The record is from RNAcentral.